AUUUGUGACCAAAUUAUCCGGAAUGUGCCCAACCUCAACAUAUCUCGGAAGCUUAGCAGGUUUGAGCCUGCACAGUGCUUGCACGGGUGACCACCAUGCAAAAAGCCGGCGUUGUAGGCU
This 120-nucleotide ribosomal RNA is filed under the name Petromyzon marinus (sea lamprey). Lineage: Eukaryota; Metazoa; Chordata; Hyperoartia; Petromyzontiformes; Petromyzontidae. The record is from RNAcentral.